CGAGUUGCAUUAGCCCAGAUGGGAGAUGACAAGUGCCUGGAUUAGGACAUGCGCCACUUCCUGUGUGAGGUAGGGUCGUACACAACGUAUGUUGUAGAGCAUGAACCUGCAGGAGCGAGUCACUGUUUUGAUGUUUGCAGAGAACAACAGGGUGUUGUCCAAGGUCAUGCCAAGGUUCUUUGCACUCUGGGAGGGCGACACUGUGGAGUUGUCAACCACGAUGGAGAGGUCUUUGAGCGGGCAGGCCUUCCCCGGGAGGAACAGCAGCUCCGUCUUGUCGAGGUUGAGCUUGGGGGGGUGGGCCGACAUCCAAGCUGAGAUAUCUGCCAUGCACGCAGAGAUGUGUGUCGCCACCUGUGUGUCAGAAGGUGGGAAGGAUAAAAGUAGUUGAGUGUCAUCUGCAUAGCAAUCAUAAGAGAGACCAUGUGAGGAUAUGACAGAGCCAGCGACGUGGUGCAUAGAGAGAAGAGGAGAGGGCCUAGAAUGAAGCCCUGGGGGACACCAAUAGUGAGAGUAUGUGGUGCAGACACAGAUCCUCUCCACGUCACCUGGUAGGAGCGGCCUGAGAGUGUACAGAGCCUGUGACGCCCAGCCCUGAGGGGGUGGAGAGGAGGAUCUGAUGGUUCACGGUGUCGAAGGCAGCAGAUAGAUCUAGGAGGAUGAGAACAGAGGAGAGAGAGUCAGCUUUGGCAGAGCGGAGAGUCUCCGUGACACAGAGAAGAGCAGUCUCGGUUGAGUGACCCACCAGCCUGUCUGGUUAGAAACAAGAAGAUUGUUCUGAGAAAGAUAACGAGAGAGUUGAUCAGAGACAGCUCUCUCUCUCUCCCGCACCUGCUGUCUCGACCUCUUAAUGCUUGGCUAUGAAAAGCCAACUGACAUUUAUUCCUGAGGUGCUGACCAUCUAUACGCACCGUGAUUAGUCUUUGACCCUGCUGGUCAUCUAUGAACGUUUGAACGAUAUCUUGAAGAACGAUAUGGCCUUAAUGCCCAUGUACUUUUAUAAUCUCCACCAGGCACAGCCAGAAGAGGGCUGGUCAACCCUUAGAGCCUGGUUUCUCUCUAGGUUUCUUCCUAGGUUCCCUCCACCUUUCUAGGGAGUUUUUCGUAGAAGAGCAGCCUUCUGUUACAGCAGCAAAGGGGGGACCAACUCCAUAUUCAUGCCCAUGAUGUUGGAAUGAGAUGUUCGACGAGCAGGUGUCCAAAUAUAUUUUGGUUAUGUAGUGUACCUGGGUGAGUGUCAGACCAAAGGAGAAGGACGGGUUAUCCUAGGGGAAAUACACAACCUCAGUUUUUGUGUUGACAAGUAUUUGUUUUUUAGAUGAUCUCCUGCUGUCCAACCUCCUGGAUGCUACAUUGACAAUUCACAGAAGAGGACCCUUAGAGGGGUGUCUUUCUUUGAUGACAUGAAAAUGGCAGUCCUCCAAUGUCAGAACAACUGUGCUGAUGGAAUAGAGACAUUUUUAAAGUGGGCUUCAAGAAGCCAGUGAAUGUAACAGAGGCUUUCCCCAUCAGGGCUGACAUCCUGAAUUUGGGGAUUUCUGCACUGAUCAGGUGUUGUCUCUGCCUGUUCUUGGGAGUCAGUGGUGCCUUUGUGGUUACCCUACACUCCUGUUCUCCCUGCAUGAGCAGGAGGAUGAAGAGAUGUGUCUGCAGAGCUUCCCUGGAGAAGACCUGGAGCACUGUGGCACUCAGGACUACUUCAUAGUGUAAGACUCGAAUCAAGGGUAACCAUGGUUGACAGAGGAAGAACAAUGAUUCCAAGCACCACCCUCCUUUUGAAGCUUCCAGUCUGUUAUUCGAACUCAAUCAGCAUGACAGAGUGAUCUCCAGCCUUGUCCCCAUCAACACUCACACCUGUGUUAACGAGAGAAUCACUGACAUGAUGUCAGCUGGUCCUUUUGUGGCAGGGCUGAAAUGCAGUGGAAAUGUUUUGGGGGGAUGCGAUUGCAUUAAGAACUAGUGUAUCUAUCAUUUCCUAUACAACAUGUAUUUUCUAGUUAUGUUUAUGAAUAGUUAUUUGGUCAGAAUAUGUGAGUGCCAGAAAAAUAUCCGGACGUUGUGGGAAAAAGAUGCUACGUUAGCACAAUGUAUAACCACUGAUUUCAGCUCUAAAUAUGCACAUUUUCGAACAAAACAUAAGUGUAUGUAUAACCUGAUGUUAUAGGACUGUCAAGGUUAGUUAUCAAGGUUAGUCAAAAAUUAUAUAUCUUUUGCUGGUUUGUUACGAUCGCUAACUUUUGCUGCUGGGGAAUGGCUUGUGUUUCUGGCUAUUGUGUAAGCUAAUAUAAUGCUAUAUUGUGUUUUCGCUGUAAAACACUUAAGAAAUCGGAAAUAUUGUCUGGAAUCACAAGAUGCCUGUCUUUCAUUUGCUGUACACCAUGUAUUUUUCAGAAAUGUUUUAUGAUGAGUAUUUAGGUAUUUGACGCUGGUGUCUGUAAUUACUCUGGCUGCUUCGGUGCCAUUUCUGACGGUAGCUGCAAUGUAAAACUGAUUUAUAGCUCAAAUAUGCACAUUUUUCGAACAAAACAUAGAUUUAUUGAAUAACAUGUUAUAAGACUGUCAUCUGAUGAAGUUGUUUCUUGGUUAGUUUGGUUGGUUCUUGGUUAGUUAGGUUGGUUUUGUGCAUGCUACGUGUGCUGUGAAAAAUGUCUGUCCUUUUUUGUAUUUGGUGGUGAGCUAACAUAAAUAUACGUGGUGUUUUCGCUGUAAAACAUUUUAAAAAUCGGACAUGUUGGCUGGAUUCACAAGAUGUUUAUCUUUCAAAUGCUGUAUUGGACUUGUUAAUGUGUGAAAGUUAAAUAUUUCUAAAAAAUAUAUUUUGAAUUUCGCGCCCUGCACUUGAAGUGGCUGUUGUCAUAUUGUGCCCGGCUUCGGGCUUGCAGCCAGAAGAAGUUUUUAUGUCAAGGUGACUUACAAAGAUGAGGACCAAGCGCAAAAGAGGGAGUGCGGCAACUAAACAAUCAUUGUGGAAUCUGAAAAGACACGUAUCCCAAAAGCAUGAUGAUGUACUUACUAGGUGCUUAAAUAAAGGAAUGAGGUGGGUAGAUAACUAAGUAUGUCAUUGUAGCUGGAUUUCCAAUCGCUCAACUCAGCUCACAUGCUCUGCAUCACAAGCUUGGCGUGUUCAGCACCACAGAGAGCACCAUUUCUAUCACGCUAUUUUCAGACAGCUGGGGAGCUAUAGUUAAAAGUUGACCAAUAUCGCCUUCUUGUGUUAAACUUAGGAAAUUAAAUAAAUCUGAACGGUUGGUUUGAUUUGUAUGUUUUUUUAGAUUGCUGAGAGGAAAGGUCAAGGAUACCUCUCUUCACAACGACCAUGUCAUGUAAGUGAGAAAAUACAUAUUCCUUACAUACAAAUCAAAUGUUAUUUGUCAUGUGGUCCGAAUACAACAGGUGUAGACCUUACUGUGAAAUGCUUACUUACGAGCCCUUUUAACCAACAAUGCAGAGUUUUAAAAAAGUAAGUAAGAAAAAUUUGCUUAAGAAAGUAAAGAAAAAAAUAGCAACACAUUAAAAAUAACAAUAACCACGCUAUAUACAAGGGGUACCGGUACCGGGUCAAUGUGCAGGGGUACAAGGUAGUCGAGGUAAUUGAGUUAAUAUGUAC
Salvelinus fontinalis (brook trout) is the source of this 3607-nucleotide long non-coding RNA. RefSeq lists it as uncharacterized. NCBI's taxonomy places the organism in Eukaryota, Metazoa, Chordata, Actinopteri, Salmoniformes, Salmonidae. The record is from RefSeq and is a predicted model, not a curated record. The transcript has 4 exons.